CUGGUUCCUUUUUCCUUACAGAAGUUUCUACACUCCAGGACCAGGUAUUUACAUAGUUUCCAAUGUCGCAUAGUUCAUGCUAAUCUCCUGAACUAUAUCUACCUUGUAGAUGUUUUCAAGUACAUGAACCAUCCUUUAGUAUAGAUGAUGAGUUUUCAUGAAACUUAUUCCGAAAGAACUGAUUAAUUAAAUGCAGAACUCUUUUCUCUUUCAGUUUAAGCUAGCGGAUUGUAAUGUCAAUAGGUCCCCUGUUAAUUGCUUAAGCUUCAUAUUAUGGUGGUAUUUAGCUUGGCAUGUUUUUUUCUUUGUUCUGUACUCAACAUUAUUUUUUCAGGUGAGUAGGAAAAGUGCAUACUUCCCGCUAUCCCUGGAUUUCCUUUGCUGUGUGUAUGCUCUGUUCUUUUUUCUGGACUUACAGCAAUGAGCAGGCUCACACCAUAACAAUUCUAAAAUGCUUCCUGGUCAACUAAAUCACUGAAUAAAUUACAUGUGUACAAUGCCUUGAUGACUUAUUCGAAUAUUGUAUUACAUGUCAUUCCUUGACUGUUCCAAUUCCUUGUAGAAAAACUUUCCCAGUUGUUUUAUUGCACACAAUUACCAUUGGUUUGUUGACUCAUUCUUCUCAUAGGAAUCACCACUGGUGGUGGAGAUGAUCAAGCUGAACUGUUGUACAUCAGUUGAGAUGAUUGGGCUUCUUUAUUGGUCUAUAAGAGGUGAUGGUAAUGAUAUCUUCUACCACGUGUCCAUUGUUUUGCUUGCCUGGUUUGAUAAUUUUGUGGUUCAUCGGAUCAACAUUAUUCGCAAUUGUGCCAGUGUUACACAGAAUGCAGUCUGAUCGUUUGUCCCUUGAACAAUGUGGUCAUUUUGCGCUUUUCCUACAGGAAUCUUUAUCCAUUUUUUAUCUCCCA
Molecule: long non-coding RNA, 908 nt
Filed under: Triticum aestivum (bread wheat)
Lineage: Eukaryota; Viridiplantae; Streptophyta; Magnoliopsida; Poales; Poaceae
Description: long non-coding RNA (TAES_LNC008148)
Source: RNAcentral